This 460-nucleotide ribosomal RNA is filed under the name uncultured bacterium. RNAcentral describes it as "partial 16S ribosomal RNA". It matches the Rfam family "Bacterial small subunit ribosomal RNA", at positions 338 to 795 of the family's 1533-position model. The record is from RNAcentral.
CCUACGGGAGGCAGCAUUGAGGAAUAUUGGUCAAUGGCCGUAAGGCUGAACCAGCCAAGUCGCGUGAAGGAAGAAUGAUCUAUGGUUUGUAAACUUCUUUUAUAGGGGAAUAAAGGUAUCCACGUGUGGAUAUUUGCAUGUACCCUAUGAAUAAGCAUCGGCUAACUCCGUGCCAGCAGCCGCGGUAAUACGGAGGAUGCGAGCGUUAUCCGGAUUUAUUGGGUUUAAAGGGUGCGUAGGUUGUUUUUUAAGUCAGCGGUGAAAGUUUGUGGCUCAACCAUAAAAUUGCCGUUGAUACUGGCAGACUUGAGUGUGUUUGAGGUAGGCGGAAUGCGUGGUGUAGCGGUGAAAUGCAUAGAUAUCACGCAGAACUCCGAUUGCGAAGGCAGCUUACUAAGCCAUAACUGACACUGAAGCACGAAAGCGUGGGGAUCAAACAGGAUUAGAUACCCUUGUAGUC